UACGUAGGGUGCAAGCGUUGUCCGGAAUUAUUGGGCGUAAAGAGCUCGUAGGCGGUCUGUCGCGUCGGAUGUGAAAACCCAGGGCUCAACCCUGGGCCUGCAUUCGAUACGGGCAGACUAGAGUUCGGUAGGGGAGACUGGAAUUCCUGGUGUAGCGGUGAAAUGCUCAGAUAUCAGGAGGAACACCGGUGGCGAAGGCGGGUCUCUGGGCCGAAACUGACGCUGAGGAGCGAAAGCGUGGGGAGCAAACAGG
RNAcentral lists this ribosomal RNA (253 nucleotides) under uncultured bacterium. RNAcentral's name for it is "partial 16S ribosomal RNA". It matches the Rfam family "Bacterial small subunit ribosomal RNA", at positions 524 to 776 of the family's 1533-position model. The record is from RNAcentral.